Molecule: unclassified non-coding RNA, 253 nt
Filed under: uncultured Alphaproteobacteria bacterium
Lineage: Bacteria; Pseudomonadati; Pseudomonadota; Alphaproteobacteria
Description: contains 16S-23S intergenic spacer region
Rfam family: Bacterial small subunit ribosomal RNA
Source: RNAcentral
UACGGAGGGAGCGAGCGUUGUUCGGAAUCACUGGGCGUAAAGCGUACGUAGGCGGUCAUGCAAGUCAGAAGUGAAAGCCCAGGGCUUAACCUUGGAACGGCUUUUGAAACUGCAAGACUAGAGUCCCGGAGAGGUUGGCGGAAUUCCGAGUGUAGAGGUGAAAUUCGCAGAUAUUCGGAGGAACACCAGUGGCGUAAGCGGCCAACUGGACGGGAACUGACGCUGAGGUACGAAAGCGUGGGGAGCAAACAGG